Molecule: long non-coding RNA, 4232 nt
Organism: Esox lucius (northern pike)
Lineage: Eukaryota; Metazoa; Chordata; Actinopteri; Esociformes; Esocidae
Source: Ensembl
UGGAUGAUGAAAAAGAGGAAGAAGAAAAGCAGAUCGCAGAAAAAGCUGUGUCAGAGGACCAGCUAUCUGAUGAGGAUGAGUCCAUGGUGGAGCAGGCGUCAUCAGGAGAAGCCUUUAUGUUCACAUCAGAAAUGACAGGUCUAGUUGAAUUCACUUCUGCAGAAGAAGAGAUUAUAGAUCUACUUGACACAGACCAGCCAACUGAGAAAACCAUCAUAGAUCUACUUGAUACUGAUCAGAUAGUCGAGGAAGACUCAGAGCAAAUUCCACAGGAGGAAGUAGUGUCAAAAUGGCAGGAAGUUGAGCUAACAGUGCUUCCAGUCCCAGACAGUCAACAGGAAGAGGGUAUUACAGAAAAAGUGAUGGUAGAAUCAGCAGAAUUAUUAAAUCAGAUGACAGUGGAUUAUGUCACUAAUAGCCAAGAGGAGUGUAUAACAGAGGAAGAGGUGAUGUCAAUGCUCCAGUUAGAUCAGUUCACAUUAGAUAGACACUCAGAUAAGCAGGAAGAGGAGGCAGAAGCACCUGGGGAGGUUUUCUUAGAAUCAGAAUUGCUAAGACCAGGUUACAGUGUCCUUCAUGGCCAGGAGACUAGUCCUGAGGACAACCUGGUGUCAGAAGAAGAGGAGAGAGAGGUGGAGGGAGAGGUGGAAGGAGAUUUGGGGAGAGCGGUGGAGGAAGAUGUGGAGGUGGAGGGAGAGAUGGAGGGAGAAGAGGAGAGAGAGGUGGAAGGAGAUUUGGGGAGAGCGGUGGAGGAAGAUGUGGAGGGAGAGAUGGAGGGAGAAGAGGAGAGAGAGGUGGAAGGAGAUUUGGGGAGAGCGGUGGAGGAAGAUGUGGAGGUGGAGGGAGAGAUGGAGGAAAAAGAGGAGAGAGAGGUGGAGGGAGAGGUGGAAGGAGAUUUGGGGAGAGCGGUGGAGGAAGAGGUGGGGGUGGAGGGAGAGAUGGAGGAAGAAGAGGAGAGAGAGGUGGAGGGAGAGGUGGAGGAAGAAGAGGAGAGAGAGGUGGAGGGAGAUUUGGAGGUGGAGGGAGAGAUGGAGGAAGAAGAGGAGAGAGAGGUGGAGGGAGAAUUGGAGGUGGAGGGAGAGAUGGAGGAAGAAGAGGAGAGAGAGGUGGAGGGAGAUUUGGAGGUGGAGGGAGAGAUGGAGGAAGAAGAGGAGAGAGAGGUGGAGGGAGAAUUGGAGGUGGAGGGAGAGAUGGAGGAAGAAGAGGAGAGAGAGGUGGAUGGAGAGGUGGAAGGAGAAGAGCAGGAAGCGAUAGAAACAAUGGUGGAGGGAGAGAUGGAGGGAGACAUGGAGGGAGAGAUAGAGGAGGAAGUGGAGGGAGAGAAGGAGGAGGAAGUGGAGGGAGAGAUGGAGGGAGAAGUGGAGGGAGAAUCAGAGAGAGAGUUGGAGGAAGAAGAGCAGGAAGCGAUAGAAACAAAUGUGGGGGGAGAAAUGGAAGACAUGGAGAGCGAGGUGGAAAAAGAGAUGAAGGGAGAGGUGGAGUCUUCUGAGGAACCAGAGGAGAAUACCUCUGUGGUACAGAGUGAAACAUUAGAAGAGUCAGCUCCAGAUAGAGAGGACACUGAGGUGGUUGUGGAGACCGAGACAGAAGGAUGGAGUGAAGCACUAGACUCUGAGAACAAUAUACAUGGCCAGGUCCCAACAGCAGUUACUCCAUAUGUAGAAGCAACUGGUGAGGUAAAGCUAUCUGCGGAAAAGAUGACAGAAAGUCUGGUCACCUCUCAAAUUGCUGACGAAGAAGAAACAGAGGACAGUGAGAAUGUAGCAGAUGAGGUGGAGUAUGGAGGCUCGGUUGCUGUGGAGAGAGUAAAGAAAGUAGAGGCUUCGUCAACCACAAAGUCAGUAGGCCAAGCGGAGUCAGAGAAAGAAGUACCUCUACUUGUUUCCACAGACUGGGUGGCAGAAACACAGAGGUUACAUUCCAGUUCACUGUAUGAAUUUGAAUCAAGUCCACAGCUUGUUGAGUCUAGUUCAUAUGUUGUGCAGACUGAGUCUCUGGGCUAUGAGCAAGAGCAGGGUUCUGAUUUGCCAUAUCUGGGUGACCGCUCAGUAUUCCAGAAUCUAGAGGACGUGAACAACCUUAGUGUGGCAUCAGAGGAAGAGGAAAGUCACCUGGUCACAGAGGUUUCCUCAAAGGGGAAGGUGGCAACAGAGUCAGCUUGCACCACGCAGGCAGAGGGCGAGUCAGGAAGUCAGUGUCAGGUCCAGGCUGAAGGGACAGGUGAGAUAACAAACAAGGCUACAAUCGAGGUAGUAAGUCAGGAUUUAGGCAAGGCUUUGACAGGCGAGCUGGACAUAUGUGGGGCAACAGGUCAGAUAGCUGCAGGUCAUGGCCAGGCUGUUUUUGAAGUUGCAGGUGAGACUGAAGAUGAGGCCACACAGGCUUCGGGUGAGUUGGAACAAGUCCCAAAGUCCUUUGCUUCAUCUUUACGUAGGAAACUCAGGAAGGGCUCCAAAAAAGAACCCACUCCCAAGAGUCCCACACUGAAGUGCAAACAACAAUGAGAGCUGCACAUUCAGACAUAAGGUGUUUUUGUAUAUAUAUGUUUUUCUGUUCAUUGGUUUUUUAUGGAUUUGUUCAGCUUUACAUGUUUGUAUUAAUAAGUUAGAGGUUUGUCAAUCGUGAUUUAACUUUUUUGUGGUAUGUGGUCUUAAUUCAGCCAUAGCUCUCGAACACACCUACAGCGUCAUUGCAUUUUGAUACAGUGCAAUUAAUUGUCAUGCAGCAUUUCGUUGCAGAGGGUUCUGAAUGCAUCAAAUAUGAAGCGGAAUAGGCUGGGCGGAAUCGGUCAGCGGUUGUAUGUUGGGUUUUUGAAACACACAUACCCAGAUGAUGCAUACAUGUGUGGAUGUAGGUGUGAUCCGGGCAUUAAUACAAAGCAAAUGGGUGUUGGCUAUAUUAAAAUAAUAAACUAUAUUUGAUUUAGAAAUGUUAGAGGUUUGGUUCCUUGCUAAUUAAUAAUGGUCAGUGCUCUUUGUAGUCAUUCUAGCUAUGUGAUGAUGUGUCCCAAACUUUUUAUUUUUUCCUUAUAGUGGACUAGGAAUACUUUCUUGUCAAAUGUAGGGUGGUUAAAGUGUCCUCAUGGUUAAGGCAUAAUUUUUUACUUAUGUGAUUGGGCAAUGGCAGGACGGAGGUGGGGCUGGUUUCUGAGACAGCGGGUCCCUUUGUGUAGCAUGUCCAUACCCGUCACCAUCUCUGGUAGCUAUCAGGCAAGAGGGUCCAAGACUAUAGCUAAUGACAACCUGUGAAGCUAGUGUCUACAAUCUAGCUUGCUAGCCCGUUAGCAACAGAGCAGUAACGGUCUGGCGAGUGUGUCCAGUUGUUCCUCAGAAGCAAACAUUUCUGUGCAUGAAAUGCAAGCGCUAGAGCUUGAACUGCUUUUACUGCGAAAGAGGUGAAGAACAACAAAAAAACAACUGAGAAGAUAGGACGUUCAUCUCUUGUCCUGCCUAUGCGAACAGGAAAAACAUUCAAAAUGUUUCCAGAUCUGCUGCAGAAAGAAGCAAAGCUAGCACAAAGCUUGGAUUCUCAAUAAUUACUGCAAUCAUCACGGAGGUGUGCAGCUGGCAUGUCCUGAAGUAGGAGUUUGUUGACUGUACCUUAAUUGAAAAACAGGACAAAAUUUGGGAGAGUUUGUGGAAGACGAGGCACUCCCUCUGACAGUAAACCUGAUGCAACCAUAUGCAGAGAGCUGCCUUUGGACCCAUGCUGCAAGAUGGAGGGUUCUGGGAUGAGCCCUUGAAGUUGAGCCAGAGAAAGGAGAGAGCAUUUUGAAGGCCUGCGUGCCUUUGUACCACUGAGAACUGCCAACAGAGUUAUCAACACAGUUCACCCACCCCACACUGGUCAGCCACCCCACACUGGUCAGCCACCCCACACAGGACACCCACCCCACACUGGUCAGCCCCCCCACACAGGACACCCACCCCACACUGGUCAGCCACCCCACAUUGGUCAGCCACCCCACACUGGACACCCACCCCACACUGGUCAGCCACCCCACACUGGACACCCAUCCCACACUGGUCACCCACCCCACACUGGUAACCCACCCCACACUGGUCAGCCACCCCACACUGGACACCCAUCCCACACUGGUCACCCACUCCUGAUGGGAACGCGUGGCCAGGAGAGUGGAGACAGGAGUUGUAAGGGGACACCAUCUGGCACAUGUUCUCCUUUUCUGGGUGAAAACUGUUUAUGAGUUGCACUCUUUAAAGACCCCAAUAAAG